Felis catus (domestic cat) is the source of this 1618-nucleotide long non-coding RNA. RefSeq lists it as uncharacterized. The transcript has 5 exons. The record is from RefSeq and is a predicted model, not a curated record. Lineage: Eukaryota; Metazoa; Chordata; Mammalia; Carnivora; Felidae.
GAAAAACAACAGCCAAUGGCAGUACAGAGGCGAAGUUAGGCGUGAGAAAGCUAGUCCCAGGAAAGCAGCCCUUCAGUCUCAGCAGGAGCCUGAAAAUUGGGGUCAGAAAUCCAGUGUGGAAAAUUCUGACAGCUGUCAGGAAGGAGGUUAUUGAAUUCAUUGGAGAAUGAGUGAUGUCCUAAAUUUGAUGGAGAGAAUCGCUGAAAGUUGGAGUGAGAUGGGCAUUCCAAGUGGGUUGACCUUGCCUGAUACAUCUGCAGUAUUUGUCUGAGACUGCCACCCUCAGCAUUGCUUGGUGCUUUGGAAGCCAUUCACUCUCUGCCACAACAUAGCCUCUGGAGAUCUGGACCAUCUGGACAUUCUGCAGAAUGUUACAUUGAUCCAUUAUGUUGAUGACAUCAUGUUGAUUGGGCAAGAUGAGCAAGAGGUUGCUAUACGCUGGAGGCCUUGGGAAGAUGCGUACAUUGCAGAGGGUGUGAUAUAUGAAGAAUCAGGGAGCUGCUACUCAGUGAAAAUGCCUCUUCACUCAGCCAGAUCUUGAGAGCAUCAUUGUCCGACGAGAGGCCAUUUCCCAAGUAACUUGAAGGCUGCAUGACUCCCGUAGUUGUCCUUAACAGCCCGGCUCCAGUACACCGCCUCCCGCAUACAUCACACCGCCCGGUGUUGGGCUGGAACUAACCAACCGUGAUAUUGGCAGUCACGCUCGCGUGCUCAAACCACCCAUGUGCAUGUGCUGGGAGGGGGCCGGCGCACAACUGCACGCAGCACCCAAUCUGGGCUCCAAACGGCACUGCAUUCUUAACGAGCAGGCUGGCUCAUUAGAGGGAAAUGUGGUCUAUAAUUCCAUGUUACAUCGCCUUUUGGCUCUGUUUUGUCUUUGCAGGCACCAGAUCUCAUCUAUCGGAAGCUGCAUAUGGCUCAUUAAAAGGACAGAGUUAGGGAGGGGCAACAGCAGGGCUCUCAGGCCAGAUGCCAUCAUCCCCUCCCUCCCCCUUUUUUUCUUUUUCAGCCCUUCCAAUGUUUUCCUUUCUUAGUUUAGCCUUCUCUCACCCACUCAGUAAAACCUAUAGACCUGUAAUAACUACCACUUAUCAAGCACGCACUCUGUGCCAGGUACAAUUGUACAUGAUCUCCAAUUCUCAAGACAACCUAGAAAAGCAUUCUAAUCCCAUGGUACAGGUAAGGGAACUGACUCUGGGAGGUUAAGGAGCCUCCCUGAGUGCAGGAGCAGGAGUGGGAAGCCAGGUCUGUCUGGCUCUUACCACUGUGUCACUUAAACUCGGGGCUGUUCACAUGCUACUUAGCACUUUGCAUGGUUUUAGUCCAGCUAAGGGAAGAAGGUUCUUCCCUACCCAACCUUUAUUACAAGGGAAAUGCUCCGUUCCCAUCUAAAGUUCUGAAAUUUGGAAAAGCCCUAUUUCCAUAUCAUUUUUCUUGUUAUCUCCAUAAGCCAAACAACCAAAAUUUAAAUCUAGGGACACCCACAAUAUGCCCCAGCUUCUUACAACCCUGACCAAGAAUGCAGUGACCAAGAGCUUUUUUUCUGCUGGCUCCAGCAUUAGGCUGUCUCACCCUCUGCAGUCCGCUAUAGCAGUAAACCAUGCCCUGCAUCCAGUAA